RNAcentral lists this ribosomal RNA (501 nucleotides) under uncultured bacterium. RNAcentral describes it as "partial 16S ribosomal RNA". It matches the Rfam family "Bacterial small subunit ribosomal RNA", at positions 29 to 523 of the family's 1533-position model. The record is from RNAcentral.
AUUGAACGCUGGCGGCAUGCCUUACACAUGCAAGUCGAACGGCAGCACGGGUGCUUGCACCUGGUGGCGAGUGGCGAACGGGUGAGUAAUACAUCGGAACGUACCUUAUCGUGGGGGAUAACGCAGCGAAAGCUGUGCUAAUACCGCAUACGCCCUGAGGGGGAAAGCGGGGGAUCGCAAGACCUCGCGCGAUUAGAGCGGCCGAUGCCUGAUUAGCUUGUUGGUGGGGUAAAAGCCCACCAAGGCGACGAUCAGUAGCUGGUCUGAGAGGACGAUCAGCCACACUGGGACUGAGACACGGCCCAGACUCCUACGGGAGGCAGCAGUGGGGAAUUUUGGACAAUGGGGGCAACCCUGAUCCAGCAAUGCCGCGUGAGUGAGGAAGGCCUUCGGGUUGUAAAGCUCUUUUGUCAGGGAAGAAACACCGGCUCUAACACAGUCUGGGAAUGACGGUAGCUGAAGAAUAAGCACCGGCUAACUACGUGCCAGCCGCCGCCGUAA